This 253-nucleotide ribosomal RNA is filed under the name uncultured bacterium. RNAcentral describes it as "partial 16S ribosomal RNA". It matches the Rfam family "Bacterial small subunit ribosomal RNA", at positions 524 to 776 of the family's 1533-position model. The record is from RNAcentral.
UACGAAGGGUGCAAGCGUUACUCGGAAUUACUGGGCGUAAAGCGUGCGUAGGUGGUUUGUUAAGUCUGCUGUGAAAUCCCCGGGCUCAACCUGGGAAUGGCAGUGGAUACUGGCAAGCUAGAGUGCGGUAGAGGGUAGUGGAAUUCCCGGUGUAGCGGUGAAAUGCGUAGAUAUCAGGAGGAACACCUGCGGUGUAGACGGCUUUCUGGACCAUUGCUGACGCUGAGACACGAAAGCGUGGGUAGCAAACAGG